Molecule: ribosomal RNA, 250 nt
Filed under: uncultured bacterium
Lineage: Bacteria
Description: partial 16S ribosomal RNA
Rfam family: Bacterial small subunit ribosomal RNA
Source: RNAcentral
UACGUAGGUGGCAAGCGUUAUCCGGAAUUAUUGGGCGUAAAGCGCACGCAGGCGGUUCUUUAAGUUUGACGUGAAAGCUCCCGGCUUAACUGGGAGAGGUCGUUGAAUACUGAGGAACUUGAGGCAAUGAGAGGGGUGUAGAAUUCCCGGUGUAGUGGUGGAAUGCGUAGAUAUCGGGAGGAAUACCAGUGGCGAAAGCGGCACCCUAGCAUUAGCCUGACGCUCAUGUGCGAAAGCGUGGGGAGCGAAC